This 389-nucleotide unclassified non-coding RNA is filed under the name Melitaea cinxia (Glanville fritillary). RNAcentral's name for it is "misc RNA ENSMCXG00005016891.1". The record is from RNAcentral. Lineage: Eukaryota; Metazoa; Arthropoda; Insecta; Lepidoptera; Nymphalidae.
AUGAACAGGUAUGAUCAGAUCUGAUAAUUUAUUCCUGGGUAUUUUGGUUUGCUAGAAAGUACAUUCAUAAAUAAUCACAGUACAAAGUAAAUCAUAAGACAAAAUUGCCUACAUAAUUAUAUGAUUUGAUGUGAAUGAUAAAAUGUUACAUUGUGCUAUUUUUGUAUUUUUUUUUUUUGUAUUUUUUACUCCUCGUUGGCAACAAUUGUUUUAACGCUAGUUUGUGUUUUCUAAAAUAAAUUAGACGAAUUUAAAACAAUAUAACAUAAUAAUUAUCAUCAAAUUUUGGUUUAAAUUCCACAUCCUAGCACGUGCCUUGGAGCGAGAUCAAAUAUUUACAUAAACAUGCAUGAUACUAAGAUGCCUCAUAAAAAGUCAAAGUAAAAAUU